CCGGUAGUUCAGUUGGUUAGAAUGCCAGCCUGUCACGCUGGAGGUCGAGGGUUCGAGCCCCUUCCG
Molecule: transfer RNA, 66 nt
Filed under: Acetivibrio thermocellus
Lineage: Bacteria; Bacillati; Bacillota; Clostridia; Acetivibrionales; Acetivibrionaceae
Also listed under: 5 other names
Rfam family: tRNA
About the family: Transfer RNA (tRNA) molecules are approximately 80 nucleotides in length. Their secondary structure includes four short double-helical elements and three loops (D, anti-codon, and T loops).
Source: RNAcentral